UUCACGCCUAGUCUUCUCCUAAAAUCAGACUAGGGUUUAGACUGUGAUAUAGAGGGUUGAGUGAUAACCACCACCGAUCAGUGAUUCCAGCCGCAGUGCGUUUCAGGCUCCCGCUUCCGCUUCACGAAGAACAACUCAACAAAGGGUUGAAACUCAAUGGUAACAAUUAUGUAACCUAGAGCUUGAAAGUCCAGUAUGUGCUAGGGGAGUAAGAGGCUCUGGAGGCCAUUAACAAUGUCAUGAAUGAGCCCGAGGAAGGCAAGACUACUCAGCGUAGGUGUGAGCGUGAAGCCUAUGACAGUUGGAAGAAAAAGAACUCCAUUGCUCGCAUUACGUUGUUGAGCACGUUGGAUGAUGACAUCCUAAGGGAGUUUAAGGAUCACUAAAGAGCUAUGGAUCUUUGGAAUGCUUUGAGGAAAAGGUUUGGUACCUGUUCCACUGCAAGGGCUGCGAUCCUUAUCGAUCAAAUUUGAUUCAUAUAAGAAACGCCCAGAACAUUCAAUGGAAAUACAUCUGAGGCAAAUGGCAAAUACGAUCGGGGAGUUGAAAGAUGUUGGUCAUGUGAUGGCUGAUGAACAACAAAUCCAAGAUAUUAUACGCUCUUUACCUAGUUCUUGGGAUAAUAUGAAAAUGCAUUUGACCCAUAAUGAGCGAAUCACAACUCUGAAAGAUGUCCAGAGGCAUCUUGAGUUUGAGGAGGAACGACUUGAGGGUGCAAAGCCAAUAGAUGAAUUGCACAUGGAAACAACCUCCAAAACCAAGAGUGAUUCAAAGAAAAGGAAUUGGGGAAAGAAGAGAGGGCCACCUCAAGCUCAAUAAGCUCAGCCUUCUAAAAGGGCAAAGACUGAAAAAGGCAAGAACAAACGUCCUAAAUGUGUCAAAGUUGCUAAAGUGAAAUGUUAUAAUUGUGACAAAAAGGGUCACUAUGCCAGAGAUUGCUCUGAGCCUCCUAGAAAGAAUCAGGAGCAAUAGACCACACAGCAUGGGAACGCACUAUCUUUGUUGAAUUUCGGCGAGUUUCACGUGGAGCAAAGUGGAUAUAUGCGGGCACCAACAAUAAAGUUGACGUUGAAGGGAUCGGUACAUGCAAGUUAGUCCUAUGUGGUGGUCGAGACCUAAUACUACAUGAUGUUCUCUUUGCACCAACAAUUCGCCGGAAUGUUAUUUCAGUUUGAGUUUUGCUUAAGCUAGGAUUUGACUUGUUUUGUCAUGGAAAUUCUGCCAAGUUGACUUAUGAUCCAACUUUAUUUGGUUUGGGUCAUGUGAC
Non-coding RNA from Nicotiana tabacum (common tobacco), 1267 nucleotides. Lineage: Eukaryota; Viridiplantae; Streptophyta; Magnoliopsida; Solanales; Solanaceae. The record is from RefSeq and is a predicted model, not a curated record.